Molecule: ribosomal RNA, 108 nt
Filed under: Halophila ovalis
Lineage: Eukaryota; Viridiplantae; Streptophyta; Magnoliopsida; Alismatales; Hydrocharitaceae
Also listed under: 1 other name
Description: partial small subunit ribosomal RNA
Rfam family: Eukaryotic small subunit ribosomal RNA
Source: RNAcentral
GCGUUAACGAACGAGACCUCAGCCUGCUAACUAGCUAUGCGGAGGUAUCCCUCCGCGGCCAGCUUCUUAGAGGGACUACGGCCUUUUAGGCCGCGGAAGUUUGAGGCA